Molecule: ribosomal RNA, 207 nt
Filed under: uncultured bacterium
Lineage: Bacteria
Description: partial 16S ribosomal RNA
Rfam family: Bacterial small subunit ribosomal RNA
Source: RNAcentral
CGUGCAGGCGGUUGAUUAAGUCUGGCGUGAAAGCUCUCGGCUAAACCGAGAGAGGUCGUUGGAUACUGGUCAACUUGAGGACGGUAGAGGCGAGUGGAAUUCCGGGUGUAGUGGUGAAAUGCGUAGAGAUCCGGAGGAACACCAGUGGCGAAGGCGACUCGCUGGGCCGUACCUGACGCUAAGACGCGACAGCAUGGGGAGCGAACG